RNAcentral lists this unclassified non-coding RNA (728 nucleotides) under Hevea brasiliensis (rubber tree). Lineage: Eukaryota; Viridiplantae; Streptophyta; Magnoliopsida; Malpighiales; Euphorbiaceae. The record is from RNAcentral.
AUACUUUCUGCUUCACAUGACCCUGAUUUUUUUUUUUUUCUAAUUAGAUGUGUUCUCAAAUAAAAUUAUUAUAGGCAGCUAAUGUUAACUGGUCCUCACAAAUUCACCACUAUAAGAAAAAGAAGCAACAUAUGCACAUCAGAAUCGCAUUUGCCUAUAAUCAGAAAUUAUAUAUAUUUAAAAUAGCAAGAAGCUCUACAACAAGAAAAGAUUUGAAACAGAUCACCAAUAAUUAAAUAUAACUUCACAAUUCCAGACAUUGCAACCACUGAAUAAAAUAAAUUCAUCAUGCAUAAUGUUAAAAGUAAUAAAAAAUGUCACUCUUUAAUAAGAACCCCAUUUUACAGAGAUUCUUAAUUCCAUAUUAUAUUAAGUCUUGGAAAACUAACCAAAGUAUCUUAAGUUGAUCUUCAGUCUUUACUCUAUAGCAAUGUGUAGUAUGUAUUAGUAAAGUAAAUUAUAUAAUAUUUAUAUUCCACUUAUGUAACUGACCAGACAUUUCCCAGCUAAACAUUUCUCUCAUUCAGAUAUUUCAGGUUUGGAUGAUUGCAAUCUCAGCAGGUACCAGUACUUGCAAUGAAAGAAUUAAACUGAUCAGGUGACUCACCAAUCAUCACCUUAUUUAAAUGAUCAUUCAACUCUCAGUGUUCUCCAAUCUAGUCUGGCAUGGAUAAAAACUUAAACUAUAAAAUAUUUGACAUUAUGAUGGCAGACAGCAGGCACCUCAG